This is a long non-coding RNA of Carassius auratus (goldfish), 2749 nucleotides long. RefSeq lists it as uncharacterized. The transcript is spliced from 4 exons. The record is from RefSeq and is a predicted model, not a curated record. Lineage: Eukaryota; Metazoa; Chordata; Actinopteri; Cypriniformes; Cyprinidae.
AUAUAACGCAUCUGUUCCCGCAGACAGUCGCUUGAUUCCUGCAGACACAACUGCAAAAAGACAGAAAGACAGAUCUGUGGUGGUAAAGGACAAAGCAGGAUCGAACUGCAGUGGUCUGAAGGUCGUGAGGGUAUUCCUUUGACUUCCUUUUUUCCAUGCAGAACCAAGGGUCUGAUGUUUCCGUGUACAGAAUCUGUUCAAGCAAAUCCAAACAUUUCCUCCACCUAGAUUUGUCUCCCUCUUGUGACUGAAAUGUCAAACACAUCUUAAGACACUUGUGACAUGCUAAGAACAGCAAACGUUUUUUUUUUUUUUUUUUUUCAUUCUUUUGAUUUAAUGGUUUUUUGAUGGUGUCAUCAGGACAGCAUAUAAUCUGGAUUUGGAAACUGAGAGCUCAUCAACCCAGAUUGUUCACUUGGUUUGAGUCUUUAGUACAGGGGUCACCAGACACGGUCCUGGAGGCCGGUUAGAUCCCCAACGUGGAACAUCGUAGUUGUGGUGUAAGCAGUUGAAUGAGACUGGCCCUUUAAAUCCCUCCAGCUGCCCAUCUCAGGCAUCUCCGGAUGAGACUCGGGUUUCACCAAUGAUCCAAUCAGAGGUGAGAUCAUAUGGAUCAUUCCAAUUUAAAUGCUGAUGAAUGGUCCAUUAUACUCGAAACAAACAUAAUUUUAAAUGAUUAUUUCAUUCACCCACCACAAUAAUUACAUUUUCAAGUUACAUCAUUCUGGUUUUCUCAGAACCCAGUACCAUAAAUUUGGAGGAAAAGCAGGAUUUUGACCAGGAUGUGGACGGAAUCAAACAACAGACUGGAGCUACUGAGGUCACUCUAAAAGCUCAGAAUAUGAAUGAUAAAGUUCCCGUGUGUGACCCACUCAAAUACAUCCUUCAUCUUCUCUACCCUGCUGCCUGGAGAUCCCAUGACCACCCUCAGCUGCACAGACCCUGAUAGAGACCCCCUAACUGUCACCAUCACCAAUGAUAACAUCAUCAGCUCUAUUUUGACUCCCAACAGCAGAACUUCCGCUGUUAUACAGCAAUGUUCUCAAAAGUGCUGUUGUGCACGGUUUCCAAAACUUCUUCUCACUUUCAUCUCCAUUGAGCUGUGGAUAUAUCAAAUAUGAAUGCUUAGCAAUAGCUGACACUCGCUAUCUCUUCUAGUACAGAUGCAUGUAUCCGAGUGGAUGUGUCUGUUCUCUCCAGACAAGGGCACCACAGGUAUAACGGUGUUGAGUGAGUUAUGGGAUUCUGUGGUCAGUAUAACACACCGGUGUUGCCAUACAAAAUCUUUGUGUUUUCAAAUUUCUUUAGGGGCCAUUUACACAGAAUGGAUUUUUGAGUUUACAUGAGACACUAAAAACAUAUAUGUAGUGUACGUUUGCAUUGAAAAGCAAUGGAAAGAAGCACAGUGGAAGGCAAAAAUGUGGUUAUGUGUGAACAGUCCCUUAGGACAGGGGUCACCAGACUCAGACCUGGAGGGCCAGGGUCCUGCAGAGUUUAGCUCCAGCCCAUUAAACACUCCUGAAGCAGCUAAUCAAGGUCUAGGUGCUCAGUUCUGCAGGAAAUUCAAAUGCAUUCAGUUACAUUACAUAAAGUAACUGAACAAGUUACACUACUCAUUACAUUUCAGAUAGGGUAAGUUGUAAUCUGUAACCCAUUACAUAGAGCUCACCAGUGCUAUAUUCAUUAUAAAAAAAUAAAAACAUUAUGUUGCUUACAAAAAAUGUUUAGUCGUGUAAUGCAGAGCUCAAUUUAUUAAACAAAUAAUGAGUUUGUCAUGUUUUUGUUUCGGUGAAGAAACAUCAACAGCAUCAGGUGAGAAUGUCAAAGUGCGACAUAAAGUACUGCUAGGUCUGUUUAUGAGAUGUAAGAUUAUGUAGCCUAGAUUUAGUUGUAAAACUUUAACUGUAUAAGCUCAUUGAAGUAUAAUUAAUCACUUCACAAAUCAGUCACUAGAUGGCGGUGUCAGUCUGUCCAAAAAAGAAAACCUCUUAACUCUCCAAACCCUAAUUUACUUCAGAACUUAAAGAAUAUUUCAUUGUACGGGUUUAAUGGAAAAAGCCGAAGACCCAGGUUAGACGUUUACAAAUGAAUUUAAUUAUAAUUUCGAGAAGCAUUUGUUCUGAAGUGGUGAUUGAUUGACCAGAGAUGAUCUUCUGAUGUCUUUCAGCAGGACGGAGUUACUUGUUUAAUCCAGCAACAGGGGAGCAUCGUCGGCUGGAAGCUCGUCUUCCUGCGAUUUGAUCUCAGAAAAGAAAUUAAUCUUAAUGUUCUUAAUUAAUUAAGUUAGUUAAUGUUCUUACAGACCUCUCCAGGUAAUGGAUAUCCAAAAUCAGCCAGAGUACAAUACGCUAAAAUAAGAAAAUGUUCAAGUUGAUGCCCUACAGCAAGCCCUUAAAUCCGUAUUUAAUUACUGCGACUGGAUAGCAAAUUAAUUAUUCAGUCACUGAUGUGAACUUAUUAACCUCCAAAAAAAAGUACACUUGAAAUAAAAACCACAGCUGGCAGAGUUUUAUCUAGUGAAUGAACUUUUAUUUAAAUUAAACAUUAUAUAGGACUUUGAAAAGAAGUUUAAUCUUUACCAAAAUAAAAGAAAAGAAACAAAAGCACUACCCUUUUUUAUCAUUUAGAUUUCCAUUAUUAUUACUAUUUAUUCUUACAUGUGAAAAUUCUGGAGAAGAAAUGUUUACGUACAGUAGGACAACUUGGGGGAAAAUAAAGUCCAUUGUAAACGGAAGUCAAGGCACAAACA